Molecule: ribosomal RNA, 501 nt
Filed under: Triticum aestivum (bread wheat)
Lineage: Eukaryota; Viridiplantae; Streptophyta; Magnoliopsida; Poales; Poaceae
Description: partial small subunit ribosomal RNA
Source: RNAcentral
AUGAUACUUGACAUUAGAAAAGCUUUAGCAGACGAACUACACGAUCUUGUGCUAUGCUUAGGAUUGGGUCUUGUCCAUCACAUCAUUCUCCUAAUGAUAUUUGCCCAAAUGCAAGAGAGUGCUAGAAAGGAUGUGGAAAGUGCUUUUGGUGUGCUUCAAUCCCGAUGGGGUAUCGUUCGAAACCCUGCACUGUCAUGGGAUGAAGGGAAGCUUUGGGAGGUGAUGACUGCUUGUGUGAUCAAGCACAACAUGAUCAUCGAGGACGAGCGUGAUGACAGCAUCUUCGACCAAGGAUUUGAUUAUCAAGGUGAAAAUGUUGAGCCCCUGCACCAAGAACCGGCCAUGUUUGAACAAUUUGUCCAAUUCCAUCAUGAGCUACGUGAUUGGCACACUCAUUUGGAUCUUCAAAAUGAUUUGGUUGAGCACGUGUGGAGUCAUAUUGGCAACCAAUAUAUGUUCAUUCAAGACAAUUUCGAUUUGGUUGUAAAACUAUUUUAUUAG